RNAcentral lists this unclassified non-coding RNA (391 nucleotides) under soil metagenome. Its description in RNAcentral is "partial contains 5.8S ribosomal RNA, internal transcribed spacer 2, and large subunit ribosomal RNA". The stretch from base 1 to 122 matches the Rfam family "5.8S ribosomal RNA", at positions 35 to 154 of the family's 154-position model. The record is from RNAcentral.
GAUGAAGAACGUAGUGAAAUGCGAUACUUGGUGUGAAUUGCAGAAUCCCGUGAACCAUCGAGUCUUUGAACGCAAGUUGCGCCCGAAGCCACUAGGCCGAGGGCACACCUGCCUGGGCGUCACACGCCGUUGCCCCCCCAUCUACUCCUUCGGGAUUGCGGGGGGGCGGAUGAUGGCCUCCUGUGCGCCUAGCCGCGCGGUUGGCAUAAAUACCAAGUCCUCGGCGACGCACGCCACGACAAUCGGUGGUUGCGAAACCUCGGUUGCCCGUCGUGUGCGUUCGUCGCGCAUCGAGGGCUCGAAAAAAUGCUCGGCUCCGGCUGGGCUUUCAACGCGACCCCAGGUCAGGCGGGGUUACCCGCUGAAUUUAAGCAUAUCAAUAAGCGGAGGA